GACUUCGGUCUGGUUCCAAGUGAAAUUGAACUAUUUAGCUGAUCGCAGCACCGGCGACAUAUCCUUCAAAUGUCUGCCUUAUCAACUUUCGAUGGUAGAUUAUGCGCCUACCAUGGUUGUAACGGGUAACGGAGAAUCAGGGUUUGAUUCCGGAGAGGGAGCCUGAGAAAUGGCUACCACAU
This 182-nucleotide ribosomal RNA is filed under the name Oncholaimus campylocercoides. RNAcentral describes it as "partial small subunit ribosomal RNA". It matches the Rfam family "Eukaryotic small subunit ribosomal RNA", at positions 229 to 415 of the family's 1831-position model. The record is from RNAcentral. Lineage: Eukaryota; Metazoa; Nematoda; Enoplea; Enoplida; Oncholaimidae.